AUAAAUUUCUUACGAAUAACAAAGGAGAGGUUCCAUAAUAAUUAGAAGUCUCGUAACCAUAACGCUUUUGUUCUAAUAUCGUCAUAUCUUGGAUCCGUUUUUUUUGUGAAUGAGCCUCUUAUUGGUUUGAUGGAGUGGACCUUCUUGAAUCUCCGUGGUGCGGGGCAGCGGUUUAGGAGGGUAGCACCUUCUUGGGUUAGAGCUUUGGACAUAUAAAUGGACCAUUUGGGGAAGGCGGUAACUCCGAUGGUGUGGUCUGUUUCAACUUCCACGGUUUCGGUCCGACGGGUGAAAGUAGUGUCUGGUGAUGGUUGAAUCUGUGUGUCGGCGCCUCUUUUGAAAAGGAUAUGAAGAUACAGUGUUCGGCUUGGCCUUGGCUAAGUCGGUGUCGUUGGCCGCGUUUUUCAGGUGAUGACGAGUGACCAUUCUGGUCCUUCGAGCCGGAAUUCUUUCCCUUCCGCUGUUUAUUUCAUUUACUUUCCCAUGUACUUAGUGAUAAGCCCAAUCUAUUUUCAACGUUCACUGUUUCUUCAUCGACUAACCGGAGGUCUUGUUCCGGUUCGCCCUCCGGGGUUGGUUUCGUUAAUUAAUAUAUAAGUU
Molecule: long non-coding RNA, 600 nt
Filed under: Brassica napus (rape)
Lineage: Eukaryota; Viridiplantae; Streptophyta; Magnoliopsida; Brassicales; Brassicaceae
Description: long non-coding RNA (BNAP_LNC002179)
Source: RNAcentral